CGGUAGGGUGCAAGCGUUUAAUCGGAAUUACUGGGCGUAAAGCGUGCGCAGGCGGUUUGGUAAGACAGAUGUAGAAACGUCCCCGGGCUUAACCUGGGAAUUGCAUUUGUGACUGCCCGGCUAGUAGUUUGGCAGAGGGGGGUAGAAUUCCACGUGUAGCAGUGAAAUGCGUAGAUAUGUGGAGGAAUACCGAUGGCGAAGGCAGCCCCCUGGGUCAAGACUGACGCUCAUGCACGAAAGCGUGGGGAGCAAACAGGAUUAGAUACCCUGGUAGUCCACGCCCUAAACGAUGUCUACUAGUUGUCGGGUCUUAAUUGACUUGGUAACGCAGCUAACGCGUGAAGUAGACCGCCUGGGGAGUACGGUCGCAAGAUUA
Molecule: ribosomal RNA, 376 nt
Filed under: uncultured organism
Description: bacterial SSU rRNA
Rfam family: Bacterial small subunit ribosomal RNA
Source: RNAcentral